AUCAGCAUUGAUUGAAGAGAAAUUCUCAACAUUUUUAAUGGAAAUAUAAUGUAUCAUUUCCAUUCAGUGUUUAAUCGGAAAUCAAUAGUUUUGCGAAGCUUCAAACGUCAAAAUCAAGGACAGCAGUUACUAUUGUAAAAACUUUCAUUUCGGAAGUUUUUUAAAGAACUGUUUCAACUUUUUAGUCCAUUUAUUUUACUGAAAAUGACAAAUGUGACAAUAAUAAAUUGUUCUAAAACUCAAAAUUUUUCUAAAACAAAGUAUUCAGACCCUAUUAACAAUAAAGUUAUAUGAAAUUAAAAGUUAUAAACCAAUAUACCUAUAACAACUAUUUGAACAAACUAUAAUUGAUGUUUUUUGAAAAAUGGAAGGUUUGUUCAGCUAUCGAUCGUCAACACCCUUCAGACAAAAAAAAAGAACUUCUAAAGAUGGAGAAGUAGAUGCGAUAUGCAGAUGAGGUCUCAUCGCUCGUUGCUGCAAGAACCUACAACCAAGCGUCGACGCAAGACAGAAUUAUCAGUAAGGUUAUUAUUCGAACAACGCUCUUUCUGGUUCAUUGAUAUUUGCUGGAUGAUCUUAGUCAGAACUAUUCGUUAUCACUGAUGGGCUUCAAUAAUGAAUGUAUCUGUAUCCUUUAUUGUUUAUCGAAAUUCUACGCCUUAGUUCUUGACAAACUUAUACAGAAUGUUAAUUUCUGAAAUGCCAUGAGUAAAGAAUUGCCGAAAAAUAAAUGAUUUUGACGACAUUGAAA
Leptinotarsa decemlineata (Colorado potato beetle) is the source of this 751-nucleotide long non-coding RNA. The record is from RefSeq and is a predicted model, not a curated record. NCBI's taxonomy places the organism in Eukaryota, Metazoa, Arthropoda, Insecta, Coleoptera, Chrysomelidae.